Chlorocebus sabaeus (green monkey) is the source of this 894-nucleotide non-coding RNA. NCBI's taxonomy places the organism in Eukaryota, Metazoa, Chordata, Mammalia, Primates, Cercopithecidae. The record is from RefSeq and is a predicted model, not a curated record.
CGCUUGGCUCCUUUAAAGGAUUCAACCGGGAGCCUCGGGUCAAUGGGAAUUCCGUUCUAAAUAUGCCAGUGAAUGGAGUAUAAUUUUUCUCCGGAUUCAGUUGAAUUUAUCAAUGAAAUCUAAAUACGUGCUUUCCCAAGGGCCCUGGCAACUGAAAACUCCCAGCUUUUGCCCAGACGCUCCUACUCUAAACCCACAGGAAAUGGACACUCGUGGAGGGUCCACGCCUGUGUAGCGUCGCCGGCUUUUCAUCUCCCCUGUAGAGAUCGCGGCCCUUGGGCGGAGCUGAGGGUGCCGAUAGCGUUUUCCUCCGCGAGAUGGAGCUGACGAGUACGGGGCCCUCAGACUCACUGACAGGAUAAAUGACUUAAUAGGAAUUUGCACAGAAGUACAGAAAAUACUAAUAGAAGAUCCUGAAGGCUUCCAGAGAACAAACAACAGGCCAACUACAACAGAACAAAUGUCUGAACAGCACCAGUCUUCCCAUUACACUCAGGGCCAGAAGACAGUGGAGUGCCGCCUUUAGAGGAAUAAGUCUCAGAAUACCAUAUCCAGUCAAGCUGCCACACAUAUUCAGACAUGUCAGAACUCAGGAAACUCAUGUCUCAUAAAGUUUUUCUGAAAAAAAAAAUUAAUUAAGAGUGGGCCAGUAAAAAGGCAAAGGAAUCCAAGAAUGAGAAAAACUUGGGAACCAAGAAAAACUAGUCCUAACCCAGGAGUGCAAUGUCAGGCAGGCCUAGAAUGACAGCUGUCUGGCAGGCCAAGCGAGCAACUGGUUUCCAACAGAGAAGAAUGCCUGCAAGCAGAAAGUGGAGUCCGUGCCACGGAGCGUGGGAUUAAGAUCCUGGAUAAAUUUAGUCCUAUGAUGAAGGCAUGUGCUGCUUUUGUUAAGAA